Molecule: ribosomal RNA, 253 nt
Filed under: uncultured bacterium
Lineage: Bacteria
Description: partial 16S ribosomal RNA
Rfam family: Bacterial small subunit ribosomal RNA
Source: RNAcentral
UACGUAGGGUGCGAGCGUUGCCCGGAUUUAUUGGGCGUAAAGAGCUCGUAGGCGGCUUGUCGCGUCGACCGUGAAAACUUGGGGCUCAACCCCAAGCCUGCGGUCGAUACGGGCAGGCUCGAGUUCGGUAGGGGAGACUGGAAUUCCUGGUGUAGCGGUGAAAUGCGCAGAUAUCAGGAGGAACACCGGUGGCGAAGGCGGGUCUCUGGGCCGAAACUGACGCUGAGGAGCGAAAGCGUGGGGAGCGAACAGG